UUUCCUGUCUCCCACGUUUUAGUUCUUUCCCCUUCCCCACCUUCUCUGUUCUACGGUUUCACAUUUAAUCAUCGCCAGCCUCUCUCCCUUCUAACGGCAACCUCUCUGUUUUCCUUCCUUCCUGUCUUCCUCUCCUUACAAUAUAUAAAUACUGAUAGCAGCUAGACGAUUCAGUUGAGUGAUGCAAGGGCGCAAGUUGAUGGUGAAGAUACAGCAAUGAUGAACAUUAUCAGGUUUGAUGAUUGGGUCACCAUUAAAAUCUUAAACUAGACAAUGAUGGAAUCAACUAUGUUGAUAUGACAAAUUAGCUUUGGCGUUAUUGGCUCCAUCUGACGAAUCAGUACCUAGCGGCUCUAGAAAGAAGAAGUCCAAGUGAUCACUGCCAUGUUCAUGCAAUACAAAAAACACCAUUGUUUCUGCCAGAAAGGUGCUUUUGGAAGGAGAGAAAUGCUAAGAAACAAAGUCUGCAACAACAUUGAAACAGAUGAAAAAUUUUCCUAUUCUCAGGCAAAUCAUGGUCCUCACGGAAGCUUCAAAGUCUAAGAAAGGCAAAUGGAUUGGUGUUUCAUUUUAGUGUAAGAAUUUGAAAAAGUUCCAAUAUGUUUAUGGGCUGUCAAAGUUGAAAAGUGCAUAGGAAGAUUACUGCUAUAUUGUUAUCUUUGAGGGUUCUCCCUAUCAAAGUC
Long non-coding RNA from Quercus robur (English oak), 683 nucleotides. RefSeq lists it as uncharacterized. The transcript has 4 exons. The record is from RefSeq and is a predicted model, not a curated record. NCBI's taxonomy places the organism in Eukaryota, Viridiplantae, Streptophyta, Magnoliopsida, Fagales, Fagaceae.